GAUGAACGCUAGCGGCGUGCCUAAUACAUGCAAGUCGAGCGAACAGACGAGGAGCUUGCUCCUCUGUCGUUAGCGGCGGACGGGUGAGUAACACGUUGUUACCCUACCUAUAAGACUGGGAUAACUUCGGGAUACCGGAGCUAAUACCGGAUAAGAUAUUGAACUGUAUUGAUCAAGAGUGGAAGAAAGAUUUGUUUUCACUCAUAUAUCGAGUCGCGCCGCAUUAGAUAGUUGGUAAGGUAACGGCUUACCAAUGCAACGAUGCGUAGCCGACCGGAGAGGGUGAUCGGCCCCACUGCAACGGAGACACGGUCCAGACUCCUACGGGAGGCAGCGGUAGGGUAUCGUACACAAGGGGCGAAUGCCUAAAGGGGCAAAGCCGCGUGGGUGAUGAAGAGCUGCGGAUAUUAAAUCUCUGUUAUUAGGGAAGAAGAAAUGUGUAAGUAACUAUGAGCGUCUUGACGGUACCUAAUCAGAAAGCCACGGCUAACUACGUG
This 497-nucleotide ribosomal RNA is filed under the name uncultured bacterium. RNAcentral describes it as "partial 16S ribosomal RNA". It matches the Rfam family "Bacterial small subunit ribosomal RNA", at positions 28 to 507 of the family's 1533-position model. The record is from RNAcentral.